Small nuclear RNA from Jaculus jaculus (lesser Egyptian jerboa), 190 nucleotides. Its record names the gene U2. It matches the Rfam family "U2 spliceosomal RNA". Rfam says of the family: U2 is a small nuclear RNA (snRNA) component of the spliceosome (involved in pre-mRNA splicing). The record is from Ensembl. Lineage: Eukaryota; Metazoa; Chordata; Mammalia; Rodentia; Dipodidae.
AUCACUUCUAGGCCUUUUGGCUAAGGUUAAGUGUAGUAUCUGUUCUUAUCAGUUAAUAUCUGAUGUGUCCUCUAUCUGAGGACAAUAUAUUAAAUGAAUUUUUGGAGUUUGGAGUUGGAAUAGGAGCUUGAUCUGUCCACUCCACUCAUCAACCUGGUAUUGCAGUACCUCUAGGAAUGGUGCACCCCCU